Molecule: ribosomal RNA, 393 nt
Filed under: uncultured bacterium
Lineage: Bacteria
Description: partial 16S ribosomal RNA
Rfam family: Bacterial small subunit ribosomal RNA
Source: RNAcentral
AUACGGAGGGUGCGAGCGUUAUCCGGAUUUAUUGGGUUUAAAGGGAGCGUAGGUGGGAUAUUAAGUCAGCUGUGAAAGUUUGGGGCUCAACCUUAAAAUUGCAGUUGAUACUGGUUUCCUUGAGUACGGUACAGGUGGGCGGAAUUCGUGGUGUAGCGGUGAAAUGCUUAGAUAUCACGAAGAACUCCGAUCGCGAAGGCAGCUCACCGGGCCGGAACUGACACUGAUGCUCGAAAGUGCGGGUAUCAAACAGGAUUAGAUACCCUGGUAGUCCGCACAGUAAACGAUGAAUACUCGCUGUUUGCGAUACACUGUAAGCGGCCAAGCGAAAGCGUUAAGUAUUCCACCUGGGGAGUACGCCGGCAACGGUGAAACUCAAAUGAAUUGACGGGG